RNAcentral lists this ribosomal RNA (475 nucleotides) under uncultured bacterium. Its description in RNAcentral is "bacterial SSU rRNA". It matches the Rfam family "Bacterial small subunit ribosomal RNA", at positions 28 to 496 of the family's 1533-position model. The record is from RNAcentral.
GAUGAACGCUAGCGGCAGGCUUAAUACGUGCAAGUCGAGGGGCAGCAGUCCCGUAGCAAUACGGGAGCUGGCGACCGGCAAACGGGUGCGGAACACGUACGCAACUUUCCUUCAAGUGGGGAAUAGCCCAGGGAAACUUGGAUUAAUACCUCGUAAUAUUAUGAAGUGGCAUCACUUUAUAAUUAUAGCUCCGGCGCUUGAAGAUGGGCGUGCGCCUGAUUAGGUAGUUGGCGGGGAACGGCCCACCAAGCCUACGAUCAGUAACUGGUGUGAGAGCACGACCAGUCACACGGGCACUGAGACACGGGCCCGACUCCUACGGGAGGCAGCAGUAAGGAAUAUUGGGCAAUGGACGCAAGUCUGACCCAGCCAUGCCGCGUGGAGGAUGAAGGUCCUCUGGAUUGUAAACUUCUUUUAUCUGGGAAGAAAUCCAUAUUUUCUAAUGUGGUUGACGGUACCAGAUGAAUAGCACCGG